Molecule: ribosomal RNA, 437 nt
Filed under: Rhizobium sp. CL4.19
Lineage: Bacteria; Pseudomonadati; Pseudomonadota; Alphaproteobacteria; Hyphomicrobiales; Rhizobiaceae
Also listed under: 1 other name
Description: bacterial SSU rRNA
Rfam family: Bacterial small subunit ribosomal RNA
Source: RNAcentral
CCCUGGCUCAGAACGAACGCUGGCGGCAGGCUUAACACAUGCAAGUCGAGCGCCCCGCAAGGGGAGCGGCAGACGGGUGAGUAACGCGUGGGAAUCUACCCAUCUCUACGGAAUAACUCAGGGAAACUUGUGCUAAUACCGUAUACGCCCUUCGGGGGAAAGAUUUAUCGGAGAUGGAUGAGCCCGCGUUGGAUUAGCUAGUUGGUGGGGUAAAGGCCUACCAAGGCGACGAUCCAUAGCUGGUCUGAGAGGAUGAUCAGCCACAUUGGGACUGAGACACGGCCCAAACUCCUACGGGAGGCAGCAGUGGGGAAUAUUGGACAAUGGGCGCAAGCCUGAUCCAGCCAUGCCGCGUGAGUGAUGAAGGCCUUAGGGUUGUAAAGCUCUUUCACCGGAGAAGAUAAUGACGGUAUCCGGAGAAGAAGCCCCGGCUAACU